Molecule: ribosomal RNA, 3306 nt
Filed under: Triticum aestivum (bread wheat)
Lineage: Eukaryota; Viridiplantae; Streptophyta; Magnoliopsida; Poales; Poaceae
Description: partial small subunit ribosomal RNA
Source: RNAcentral
AUGUUCGGUGAGGCAAAGGCCGCAGCACGGCGAGGCACUUGGUUCACAGCCCAGAUAGCAGCGCUGCUCCGAUGGAAAUCCAGCCUGACAAGCAUCAGCAGCGGUUCAGCCUUGAGCACCUGGAGCCCCGGCGUCCACCCCUGCAACUGGACGGGCAUCACCUGCCGCCGUGCAGCUCAAGGCCCGGCCAUCACUGGGAUCUCCCUCCCAGGAGCUGGCCUUGCCGGGCGGCUGGACGUGCUCAACUUGCAGCCCCUGUCCUUGCUCACCAGCCUUGACAUCAGCAACAACUUCCACCUCUCAGGACGGAUUCCACCGACCGUCGGCAUGCUCCCCAUGCUUUCCAUGCUCAACUUCUCCGGUAACCAGCUCACCGGAGGCAUACCUCCGGCCAUCGGUGAGCUGGGGAGCCUCACCGUGAUGGACCUCUCCUUCAAUGGCCUCACAGGUACCAUUCCUGCAAACAUUGGCAGGCUUCAGUCCUUGCAAAGUCUCCGGUUAUACCAUAACAACUUAACUGGAAUUAUUCCUCCUUCCCUCACCAACCUAACAUUGCUCAGAGAUUUAAGUCUGUUCACAAACCAUCUUACUGGUUCAAUCCCCGUAGAGCUCGGGAAACUCGCUGCUUUGGAAGAGCUAGAUUUGGCUGAUAACUAUCUGACCGGUACUAUUCCGAGCAGCAUUGGAAACCUUACUAAACUAGGCUACUUAGGACUGACCCAAAACUUGCUUAUUGGUCCCAUUCCUCACGAGAUGACACACCUUAUUAAUCUUACCGUGCUCAUGAUAUCACACAAUCAAUUCACGUCCACAAUCCCUGCAGCAAUCACAAACUUAACCAAGUUGCAACUGCUAGGAGCCAGCAGGAGCAACUUAAGUGGCCACCUUCCUGAACAAAUAGGAUCACUCACUGAUCUUCGUGAGGUCUACCUUUUCGGUAAUAAACUUACCGGGAGCAUUCCUUUGAGUCUCGGAAAUUUGACAAUGCUCACAUAUCUGUACCUGUACGAGAACAACUUGUCUGGGUCCAUUCCUUAUGUGCUAGGGAAUCUUGCAAACCUUCAGGAGCUUAGCCUCUCCUCCAAUGCUUUAGAUGGUGAUCUGCCAUCUAGCAUGGGAAACAUGACUUCCCUCACCUCCCUUCGCCUUCAAAACAAUAGCUUUUCUGGCACAAUCCCAGCUGAGCUAGGCAAUCUAGGGAAUUUAGUGAAUCUUUACCUCUACUUCAACAAGUUCUCUGGCUCGGUCCCUCCAAGCUUUGGAAACUUCAGGGAAAUGACAGAUUUGAGGCUGUCAGGCAAUAGACUGUCUGGACCUUUGCCUCACACAUUUUCAAACCUCACCAAUUUAGUGGACAUUGAGUUGAGUUACAACAAUCUCAGCGGACACGUGCCUGACUUAUGCCAGGGCAAAAAACUCCAAUGGUUUUCCGCAACUACCAACCAAUUUAGUGGAUCCUUUCCAGGAAGUUUCAAGGACUGCUGCUCCUUAAUCAUCCUCGACAUCAUGUAUAAUCAGAUGGAUGGAGAUAUAGCACAACAGCUUGGGGUGUACCCACAUCUGAAAUUUGUUGGGUUAACUUCAAACAAACUGCACGGUCAGCUUUCAACAGACUGGGGUUCAUGCGGUAACUUGACAGAACUGCGUUUAGGAGGAAACAUGAUUACUGGUCAUAUACCUCGUGAGCUCACAAAGCUAACCAAACUCAGAAAACUCGACCUCCAUUUGAAUAGGUUGACAGGGGAGAUACCUCCUGAAAUUGGCAAACUAGUCAACCUAUAUUUGCUAGACUUGAGCCAAAAUAAUAUAUCUGGAUGCAUUCCUCAAAACAUUGGUCAAAUGGAUGCUCUUGAGGUUCUCGACCUGUCAAGCAAUCAACUAGAUGGAAGAAUACCAGAAGAAGUUGGGAAAUGUGCGAGACUACAGUCCAUGAAACUGAACAACAACAGCUUAAACGGCAGCCUUCCUGGUUCCAUAGGCAAACUGAUUCACCUACAGACAACCCUUGAUGUCAGCCAUAACAGCCUACAUGGUGCCAUUCCUCCAGAAAUAGGAAAUCUAGAUAUGUUGGUAAGCAUAAACCUCUCCCACAAUCAAUUCAGUGGAAGCAUUCCAGACACGGUAGCAGGACUCCGAAGCAUGUCCGUAUUUGAUGUGUCCUACAACAGAUUACAAGGCACAGUUCCGGGAAGGAUCCAUAAUUCCUCGGCAGAAUGGUUUAUUCACAAUAGAGGUCUCUGCGGGGAGCUGGCUGGCCUUCCGUCUUGUCAUUCUUCUGCUGCAAAUCAUCAGAAAAAGAACCAAAUCUUCAUGUUAAAAGUGGGUAUCCCUGUUUUUGUGGCUAUUACUUGUAUAGCUGCAUGCAUCUUCUUCACUUUGAUUUUGAGGAAGAAAUCCUCUUCUAGAGAAAGUGCCAUUGUAAAGAGAGCGGACCUCUUCUCCAUAUGGAACUUCGAUGGUAAAAUAGCUUUUGAGGAUAUCAUCAAUGCAACGGAUAAUUUUGAUGAAAAACAUUGCAUUGGAAGGGGGGGAUUUGGUAAUGUCUACAAGGUGGAUCUCCCAGAUGGACAAGUGGUUGCAGUGAAGAAGCUUCAUCCUAUUGAGGAAGGGAUGCAUGAUGAGCAAUGCUUUCGUCGUGAGAUUGAAGUACUAACAAAAGUCCGUCAGCGCAGCAUUGUCAAGCUGUAUGGAUUCUGUUCCCAUACGCAGUACAGGUUCCUGGUUUGCCAAUACAUAGAAAGGAGGAGUCUAGCCUCAAUCCUGAGCAACAACGACCAAGCAAUCCAAUUUGAUUGGCAGAAAAGAGCAGUUCUCAUCAAGGAUGUUGCGCAAGCUAUUUCCUACCUACACCAUGGUUGUGAUCCACCUAUAAUCCAUCGGGACAUAACAAGUAGCAACAUUUUGCUAGAUUCUGAAUACAAUGCCUUUGUCUCGGACUUUGGCACGGCAAGGAUAUUGAAGCCCGAUUCAUCGAACUGGACCGCACUGGCGGGGACAUACGGCUACAUCGCACCAGAACUUUCUUACACGCCCUUGGUCACCGAGAAAUGCGAUGUCUACAGCCUCGGCGUUGUGAUGCUGGAGGUGCUGAUGGGGAAGCAUCCAGGAGAAUUCCUAAACAGACCUGCAGCUGCGCAAGAACAAGACAUGAUACUUCAAGAGCAUCUCGACCACCGUCUUCCCACGCCCAAGACCGACGAGGCGCGGGAUAUCAAUCGGCUAAUAUCGGUGGCGUUUCAGUGCCUACAAGAUUCCCCUCAUGAGAGGCCAGACACGCAGCAGAUCCAUCGAGCUCUCGGUGUAUGA